Saccostrea echinata is the source of this 374-nucleotide long non-coding RNA. RefSeq lists it as uncharacterized. The record is from RefSeq and is a predicted model, not a curated record. NCBI's taxonomy places the organism in Eukaryota, Metazoa, Mollusca, Bivalvia, Ostreida, Ostreidae. The transcript has 2 exons.
UUAACGUAUAUAAAUUGAGUAUUAUUGUCUGUGUAUUGUUCCGAUUGUUUGGACUGAUACCAGGAUGCUUCGUUGGAUCAUUAUAGCUGCUCUUUUUGCCAUGGUAAGCGCACAGUGUAACGACUUUGCUUUCCAGUAUGAAUGUCUGCAGAACGCAAACCGAAAGUUGUCCGUCUGUAAGCAGUGUGAGAAUUCUUUGGUGUCCAAACUACAAUGUGAACUAAACUGCCUACAGGACGCGUAUAGAAGAGUAACGCAUUGUAUCAUUCUGGAGUGAAAAACAGCAACCUGAGAAAAACGUUGUCUGUGUCUUAUUGAGUACUUUGUUUCUAUAGGUUUUUGUUUUUUUUUAAAUAAAUCGAUGUCAAUUGUCA